Molecule: long non-coding RNA, 282 nt
Filed under: Mytilus galloprovincialis (Mediterranean mussel)
Lineage: Eukaryota; Metazoa; Mollusca; Bivalvia; Mytilida; Mytilidae
Source: RNAcentral
UUAAGGUGGUACCCAACACUUUAACUAAAAUUAAUUUGGCUCGUUUAAUUUUCUUAAAAUUUUGACAAAGUAUUAACUUUGACCCUUUUACAAAAAUAUAAAAAUUUCAAAAAAUUUGAACCAACCGUUUUAUCAGAAAAAUUACACUGGUUAUAUAGCAGUUUGACAAAAACUUAGUUUGAUCAUUCAGAAGCUUGAUAUUCCCUUUACAACACAACGUUAUUAAAACGUUCAGCUAAUUUUACAGAGUUAUCUCCCUGUAGUGUUAGGUACCACCUUAAA